GUGGAUAGGGGUGAAAGGCUAAACAAAUCUGGAGAUAGCUGGUUCUCCCCGAAAACUAUUGAGGUAGUGCCUCGUGUAUGGCUCCAGGGGGUAGAGCACUGUUAUGGCUAGGGGGACAUGGCGUCUUACCAAACCAUGGCAAACUCCGAAUACUUGGAAGUCUGAGCACGGGAGACAGAGCACCGGGUGCUAACGUCCGGACUCAAAAGGGAAACAACCCAGACCGCCGGCUAAGGUCCCUAAUAUUGACUAAGUGGAAAACGAAGUGGGAAGGCUAAGACAGUCAGGAAGUUGGCUUAGAAGCAGCCAUCCUUCAAAGAAAGCGUAAUAGCUCACUGAUCGAGUCUUCCUGCGCGGAAGAUGUAACGGGGCUAAGUCAAUAACCGAAGCCGCGGAUUCGCAGCAAUGCGAGUGGUAGGGGAGCGUUCUGUAAGCCUGCGAAGGCGGAUCUGCGAGGACCGCUGGAGGUAUCAGAAGUGCGAAUGCUGACAUGAGUAACGUUAAAGCGGGUGAAAAGCCCGCUCGCCGCAAGCCCAAGGUUUCCUGCUCUACGUUCAUCGGAGCAGGGUGAGUCGGCCCCUAAGGUCAGGCUGAGAAGCGUAGCUGAUGGGAAGCUGGUUAAUAUUCCAGCACCGAUUUCAAGUGCGAAGGGGGGACGGAGUCCUGAAGGUCAUCCGGGUGUUGGACAUCCCGGUUUACGAGCGUAGGAGGUUGACAGGCAAAUCCGUCAACGAAUCUCCAAGGCGAAGGAUCGAGGUUGAGAGAUCAACUGAAGUGACUGAAUGGGCUUCCAGGAAAAGCCUCUAAGCAUCAGCUUGGAAUUGACCGUACCGCAAACCGACACUGGUGGGCGAGCUGAAUAUGCUCAGGCGCUUGAGAGAACUCAGGAGAAGGAACUCGGCAAAUUGACACCGUAACUUCGGGAUAAGGUGUGCCUUUGUAGUGUGAAGAGAGAAACACUCCGAGCAUGAAGAGGCCUCAGAGAAUCGGUGGCUGCAACUGUUUACUAAAAACACAGCACUCUGCAAAGAUGAAAGUCGACGUAUAGGGUGUGAUGCCUGCCCGGUGCUGGAAGAUUAAUUGAUGGGGUGCAAGCUCCUGAUCGAAGUCCCAGUAAACGGCGGCCGUAACUAUAACGGUCCUAAGGUAGCGAAAUUCCUUGUCGGGCAAGUUCCGACCUGCACGAAUGGCAUAAUGAUGGCCACACUGUCUCCUCCUGAGACUCAGUGAAGUUGAAAUGUUUGUGAUGAUGCAAUCUCCCCGCGGCUAGACGGAAAGACCCCAUGAACCUUUACUGCAGCUUUGCAUUGGACUUUGAACCGAUCUGUGUAGGAUAGGUGGGAGGCAGUGAAGCUAGGACGCCAGUCUUAGCGGAGCCAACCUUGAAAUACCACCCUGAUUUGUUUGAGGUUCUAACCUAGGAGCGUGAUCCGCUUCGGGGACCGUGCAUGGUAGGCAGUUUGACUGGGGCGGUCUCCUCCUAAAGGGUAACGGAGGAGUGCGAAGGUACGCUAGGUACGGUCGGAAAUCGUGCUGAUAGUGCAAUGGCAAAAGCGUGCUUGACUGCGAGACCGACAAGUCGAGCAGAUACGAAAGUAGGUCAUAGUGAUCCGGUGGCUCUGCAUGGAAGGGCCAUCGCUCAACGGAUAAAAGGUACUCUGGGGAUAACAGGCUGAUACCGCCCAAGAGUUCAUAUCGACGGCGGUGUUUGGCACCUCGAUGUCGGCUCAUCUCAUCCUGGGGCUGUAGCCGGUCCCAAGGGUAUGGCUGUUCGCCAUUUAAAGAGGUACGUGAGCUGGGUUUAAAACGUCGUGAGACAGUUUUGUCCCUAUCUGCCGUGGGCGUUGGAAGAUUGACGGGGGCUGCUCCUAGUACGAGAGGACCGGAGUGGACUCACCUCUGGUGUACCGGUUGUCACGCCAGUGGCAUCGCCGGGUAGCUAUGUGGGGAAAGGAUAACCGCUGAAAGCAUCUAAGCGGGAAACCUGCCUGAAGAUAAGUCUUCCUGGAGGCUUUGACCUCCCUGAAGAGUCGUUCGAGACCAGGACGUUGAUAGGUUGGAUGUGCAAGCGCUGUGAGGCGUUGAGCUGACCAAUACUAAUUGCUCGUGAAGCUUGAUCC
RNAcentral lists this ribosomal RNA (2120 nucleotides) under human gut metagenome. Its description in RNAcentral is "bacterial LSU rRNA". It matches the Rfam family "Bacterial large subunit ribosomal RNA", at positions 811 to 2925 of the family's 2925-position model. The record is from RNAcentral.